ACUCCCUGGUGGGACUCUGUCUGUGACUUGUGUAGUCUUGAUUGGUCACAUCACAGGCAGAGUUCUAGUUAGGUGG
Molecule: microRNA precursor, 76 nt
Filed under: Trichomalopsis sarcophagae
Lineage: Eukaryota; Metazoa; Arthropoda; Insecta; Hymenoptera; Pteromalidae
Description: mir-11 microRNA precursor family
Rfam family: mir-11 microRNA precursor family
Source: Rfam by way of RNAcentral